This 410-nucleotide ribosomal RNA is filed under the name uncultured bacterium. RNAcentral's name for it is "bacterial SSU rRNA". It matches the Rfam family "Bacterial small subunit ribosomal RNA", at positions 370 to 772 of the family's 1533-position model. The record is from RNAcentral.
AAUGGGGGCAACCCUGAUCCAGCCAUGCCGCGUGAGUGAAGAAGGCCUUCGGGUUGUAAAGCUCUUUCGGCCGGGAAGAAAUCGCAUGGGCGAAUACCCUGUGUGGAUGACGGUACCGGAAGAAGAAGCACCGGCUAACUACGUGCCAGCAGCCGCGGUAAUACGUAGGGUGCGAGCGUUAAUCGGAAUUACUGGGCGUAAAGGGUGCGCAGGCGGCGCCAUAAGACAGCUGUGAAAUCCCCGGGCUUAACCUGGGAACUGCGGUUGUGACUGUGGUGCUUGAGUGCGGCAGAGGGGGGUGGAAUUCCACGUGUAGCAGUGAAAUGCGUAGAGAUGUGGAGGAACACCGAUGGCGAAGGCAGCCCCCUGGGCCGAUACUGACGCUCAUGCACGAAAGCGUGGGUAGCAAA